CGGAGAGUUUGAUCCUGGCUCAGGACGAACGCUGGCGGCGUGCUUAACACAUGCAAGUCGAACGGUGAAGAGGAGCUUGCUCCUUGGAUCAGUGGCGAACGGGUGAGUAACACGUGAGUAACCUGCCCCAAACUCUGGGAUAAGCACUGGAAACGGUGUCUAAUACCGGAUACGAGCUUCAGCCGCAUGGCUAGGAGUUGGAAAGAAUUUCGGUUUGGGAUGGACUCGCGGCCUAUCAGCUAGUUGGUGAGGUAAUGGCUCACCAAGGCGACGACGGGUAGCCGGCCUGAGAGGGUGACCGGCCACACUGGGACUGAGACACGGCCCAGACUCCUACGGGAGGCAGCAGUGGGGAAUAUUGCACAAUGGGCGCAAGCCUGAUGCAGCAACGCCGCGUGAGGGACGACGGCCUUCGGGUUGUAAACCUCUUUUAGUAAGGAAGAAGCGAAAGUGACGGUACCUGCAGAAAAAGCACCGGCUAACUACGUGCCAGCAGCCGCGGUAAUACGUAGGGUGCAAGCGUUGUCCGGAAUUAUUGGGCGUAAAGAGCUCGUAGGCGGUUUGUCGCGUCUGCUGUGAAAACCCGAGGCUCAACCUCGGGCGUGCAGUGGGUAC
Molecule: ribosomal RNA, 615 nt
Filed under: uncultured bacterium
Lineage: Bacteria
Description: bacterial SSU rRNA
Rfam family: Bacterial small subunit ribosomal RNA
Source: RNAcentral